CUCUCACUGAUCUCCUCAAGUUCUCUGGAGAGGUCAGCUCUCUGCUUCUCAACCUUGGCACGAGCAGCACGCUCAGCCUCGAUCUCUUCCUCCAGUUCCUCAAUACGAGCCUAUUGAACUUUCUCGUCAGACUGCUGCUUGUCAUUCUCAAGAUCCAUGAUGGAUUCCUGGGCCAGUUUCAGAUCACCCUCCAGCUUCCUCUUGGUUCUCUCAAGGUCCAUACGCAGCUUCUUCUCUUGCUCCAGAGAACCCUCAAGCUAAACAGUAACAUGAGUUUUCAAUCAUCAUGGUCAAGUCAAAUCUUGCAUUGGCAAUCCAACCUGCAGGUCAUCAAGAGUCUGCUGAUGAGCCUCCUGAAGGGCUUUCUUUUCCUUGGUCAGCUUGGCAAUGCUCUCAUCCUGAGAGGCCAUCUCCUCAGUCAGUGGCAUGUUUCUCCUUCUCCACUUUGGCCAAGGUAAGCUCCAGGUCAUCAAUAUCCUUCUUGAGCUCAGAGCAUUCAUCCUCCAGCUUUCUUUUCUUGGCAGUGAGCUCAGCAUUGAUUUCCUCUUCAUCUUCCAGUCUCUCAGUUGUCUCUUUGAGUUUGGCCUCCAGUUGGAUCUUGCUCUUGAUAAGACCCUCACAUCUCUCCUCAGCAUCUGACAGAUUCUCUGAUUCCUAGUUUGUAUUAUGAAAAAAGAUGUGAGCACUCAACACGGAAAACAUGGAAAAGCACAACUAUCUGUUGAUGGGUACUUACAGAUGC
Long non-coding RNA from Acanthopagrus latus (yellowfin seabream), 742 nucleotides. RefSeq lists it as uncharacterized. The record is from RefSeq and is a predicted model, not a curated record. Lineage: Eukaryota; Metazoa; Chordata; Actinopteri; Spariformes; Sparidae. The transcript has 4 exons.